AUACGUAGGGGGCAAGCGUUAUCCGGAUUUACUGGGUGUAAAGGGAGCGUAGACGGUUUGGCAAGUCUGAUGUGAAAGCCCGGGGCUCAACCGCGGGACUGCAUUGGAAACUGUCAGACUUGAGUGCAGGAGAGGUAAGUGGAAUUCCUAGUGUAGCGGUGAAAUGCGUAGAUAUUAGGAGGAACACCGGUGGCGAAGGCGGCUUACUGGACUGUAACUGACGUUGAGGCUCGAAAGCGUGGGGAGCAAACAGGAUUAGAUACUCUGGUAGCCCACGCCGUAAACGAUGAAUACUAGGUGUUGGGAGACAAUAGUUUCUCGGUGCCGCAGCAAACGCAAUAAGUAUUCCACCUGGGGAGUACGUUCGCAAGAAUGAAACUCAAAUGAAUUGACGGGG
This 397-nucleotide ribosomal RNA is filed under the name uncultured bacterium. Its description in RNAcentral is "partial 16S ribosomal RNA". It matches the Rfam family "Bacterial small subunit ribosomal RNA", at positions 523 to 918 of the family's 1533-position model. The record is from RNAcentral.